RNAcentral lists this ribosomal RNA (253 nucleotides) under uncultured bacterium. RNAcentral describes it as "partial 16S ribosomal RNA". It matches the Rfam family "Bacterial small subunit ribosomal RNA", at positions 524 to 776 of the family's 1533-position model. The record is from RNAcentral.
UACGUAGGGCGCGAGCGUUGUCCGGAAUUAUUGGGCGUAAAGAGCUCGUAGGCGGCCGGUUGCGUCUGCUGUGAAAUCCCGGGGCUUAACCCCGGGCGUGCAGUGGAUACGGGCCGGCUGGAGGCAGGCAGGGGAGAAUGGAAUUCCCGGUGUAGCGGUGAAAUGCGCAGAUAUCGGGAGGAACACCAGUGGCGAAGGCGACUUCCUGGCCUGUUCUUGACGCUGAGGCGCGAAAGCUAGGGGAGCAAACGGG